CAGCCGCCGCGGUAAUACGUAGGGUGCAAGCGUUAAUCGGAAUUACUGGGCGUAAAGCGUGCGCAGGCGGUUAUAUAAGACAGAUGUGAAAUCCCCGGGCUCAACCUGGGAACUGCAUUUGUGACUGUAUAGCUAGAGUACGGCAGAGGGGGAUGGAAUUCCGCGUGUAGCAGUGAAAUGCGUAGAUAUGCGGAGGAACACCGAUGGCGAAGGCAAUCCCCAGGGCCUGUACUGACGCUCAUGCACGAAAGCAUGGGGAGCAAACAGGAUUAGAGACCCCCGUAGUCCCUGUCUCUUAUAC
This 301-nucleotide ribosomal RNA is filed under the name uncultured bacterium. Its description in RNAcentral is "partial 16S ribosomal RNA". It matches the Rfam family "Bacterial small subunit ribosomal RNA", at positions 509 to 807 of the family's 1533-position model. The record is from RNAcentral.